Molecule: ribosomal RNA, 423 nt
Filed under: uncultured bacterium
Lineage: Bacteria
Description: bacterial SSU rRNA
Rfam family: Bacterial small subunit ribosomal RNA
Source: RNAcentral
GUACGCUGGCGGCACGCCUUAUACAUGCAAGUCGAACGAAGUAGCAAUACUUAGUGGCAGACGGGUGAGUAACAUGUAGGUAUCUUCCCUUUGGUGAGGAAUAACACGAGGAAACUUGUGCUAAUACCUCAUAAGUCUUCACGGAGAAAGCUUUAUGCGCCAAAGGAUGAGCCUGCACUUGAUUAGUUUGUUGGUGGGGUAAUGGCCUACCAAGACUUUGAUCUAUAGCUGAUCUGAGAGGAUGAUCAGCCACAUUGGGACUGAGACACGGCCCAAACUCCUACGGGAGGCAGCAGUAGGGAAUAUUGCACAAUGGAGGAAACUCUGAUGCAGCGAUGCCGCGUGAGUGAAGAAGGCCUUUGGGUUGUAAAGCUCUUUCGUCGGGGAAGAAAAUGACUGUACCCGAAUAAGAAGGUCCGGCUA